GAUGAACGCUGGCGGCGUGCCUAAUACAUGCAAGUCGAGCGAACAGACGAGGAGCUUGCUCCUCCGACGUUAGCGGCGGACGGGUGAGUAACACGUGGAUAACCUACCUAUAAGACUGGGAUAACUUCGGGAAACCGGAGCUAAUACCGGAUAAUAUAUUGAACCGCAUGGUUCAAUAGUGAAAGACGGUUUUGCUGUCACUUAUAGAUGGAUCCGCGCCGCAUUAGCUAGUUGGUAAGGUAACGGCUUACCAAGGCAACGAUGCGUAGCCGACCUGAGAGGGUGAUCGGCCACACUGGAACUGAGACACGGUCCAGACUCCUACGGGAGGCAGCAGUAGGGAAUCUUCCGCAAUGGGCGAAAGCCUGACGGAGCAACGCCGCGUGAGUGAUGAAGGUCUUCGGAUCGUAAAACUCUGUUAUUAGGGAAGAACAAAUGUGUAAGUAACUAUGCACGUCUUGACGGUACCUAAUCAGAAAGCCACGGCUAACUACGU
This 496-nucleotide ribosomal RNA is filed under the name uncultured bacterium. Its description in RNAcentral is "partial 16S ribosomal RNA". It matches the Rfam family "Bacterial small subunit ribosomal RNA", at positions 28 to 506 of the family's 1533-position model. The record is from RNAcentral.